UUGAUAGGCGAGGUGUGGAAGCGCAGUAAUGUGUGAAGCUAACUCGUACUAAUUGGCUGAUUGUCUUGACCAUA
This 74-nucleotide ribosomal RNA is filed under the name Legionella quinlivanii DSM 21216. RNAcentral's name for it is "23S rRNA. Bacterial LSU". Lineage: Bacteria; Pseudomonadati; Pseudomonadota; Gammaproteobacteria; Legionellales; Legionellaceae. The record is from RNAcentral.